GAAAAUCAAGGCUGAGGCGUGAUGACGAGGCACUACGGUGCUGAAGCAACAAAUGCCCUGCUUCCAGGAAAAGCCUCUAAGCAUCAGGUAACAUCAAAUCGUACCCCAAACCGACACAGGUGGUCAGGUAGAGAAUACCAAGGCGCUUGAGAGAACUCGGGUGAAGGAACUAGGCAAAAUGGUGCCGUAACUUCGGGAGAAGGCACGCUGAUAUGUAGGUGAAGUCCCUCGCGGAUGGAGCUGAAAUCAGUCGAAGAUACCAGCUGGCUGCAACUGUUUAUUAAAAACACAGCACUGUGCAAACACGAAAGUGGACGUAUACGGUGUGACGCCUGCCCGGUGCCGGAAGGUUAAUUGAUGGGGUCAGCGCAAGCGAAGCUCUUGAUCGAAGCCCCGGUAAACGGCGGCCGUAACUAUAACGGUCCUAAGGUAGCGAAAUUCCUUGUCGGGUAAGUUCCGACCUGCACGAAUGGCGUAAUGAUGGCCAGGCUGUCUCCACCCGAGACUCAGUGAAAUUGAACUCGCUGUGAAGAUGCAGUGUACCCGCGGCAAGACGGAAAGACCCCGUGAACCUUUACUAUAGCUUGACACUGAACAUUGAGCCUUGAUGUGUAGGAUAGGUGGGAGGCUUAGAAGUGUGGACGCCAGUCUGCAUGGAGCCGACCUUGAAAUACCACCCUUUAAUGUUUGAUGUUCUAACGUUGACCCGUAAUCCGGGUUGCGGACAGUGUCUGGUGGGUAGUUUGACUGGGGCGGUCUCCUCCUAAAGAGUAACGGAGGAGCACGAAGGUUGGCUAAUCCUGGUCGGACAUCAGGAGGUUAGUGCAAUGGCAUAAGCCAGCUUGACUGCGAGCGUGACGGCGCGAGCAGGUGCGAAAGCAGGUCAUAGUGAUCCGGUGGUUCUGAAUGGAAGGGCCAUCGCUCAACGGAUAAAAGGUACUCCGGGGAUAACAGGCUGAUACCGCCCAAGAGUUCAUAUCGACGGCGGUGUUUGGCACCUCGAUGUCGGCUCAUCACAUCCUGGGGCUGAAGUAGGUCCCAAGGGUAUGGCUGUUCGCCAUUUAAAGUGGUACGCGAGCUGGGUUUAGAACGUCGUGAGACAGUUCGGUCCCUAUCUGCCGUGGGCGCUGGAGAACUGAGGGGGGCUGCUCCUAGUACGAGAGGACCGGAGUGGACGCAUCACUGGUGUUCGGGUUGUCAUGCCAAUGGCACUGCCCGGUAGCUAAAUGCGGAAGAGAUAAGUGCUGAAAGCAUCUAAGCACGAAACUUGCCCCGAGAUGAGUUCUCCCUGACUCCUUGAGAGUCCUGAAGGAACGUUGAAGACGACGACGUUGAUAGGCCGGGUGUGUAAGCGCAGCGAUGCGUUGAGCUAACCGGUACUAAUGAACCGUGAGGCUUAACCUUACAACGCCGAAG
This 1416-nucleotide ribosomal RNA is filed under the name Escherichia coli. RNAcentral describes it as "bacterial LSU rRNA". It matches the Rfam family "Bacterial large subunit ribosomal RNA", at positions 1536 to 2925 of the family's 2925-position model. The record is from RNAcentral. Lineage: Bacteria; Pseudomonadati; Pseudomonadota; Gammaproteobacteria; Enterobacterales; Enterobacteriaceae.